ACCUCAUCUCCUUCUAUGACCGGGUGAUCUUCCUGGUGGAUGAGGGAAAGGCUGUUGAUGUAGUCUACCUAGACUUCAGCAAGGCCUUUGUCAUGGUCUCCCACAGUAUUCUCCUGGAAAAGCUGGAAGCCCAUGGCUUGGAGAGGCACACUCUUUGCUGGGUUACAAACUGGCUGGGCAGCUGGGCCCAGAGAG
Long non-coding RNA from Oxyura jamaicensis (ruddy duck), 195 nucleotides. RefSeq lists it as uncharacterized. The record is from RefSeq and is a predicted model, not a curated record. NCBI's taxonomy places the organism in Eukaryota, Metazoa, Chordata, Aves, Anseriformes, Anatidae. The transcript has 3 exons.